Molecule: ribosomal RNA, 447 nt
Filed under: uncultured eukaryote
Lineage: Eukaryota
Description: bacterial SSU rRNA
Rfam family: Eukaryotic small subunit ribosomal RNA
Source: RNAcentral
AAACCCCUUAACGAGUAACCAUCAGAGGGCAAGUCUGGUGCCAGCAGCCGCGGUAAUUCCAGCUCUGAUAGCGUAUAUUAAAGUUGUUGCAGUUAAAAGCUCGUAGUUGGAUUUUAGAGUAUAUUGAUAUGGUCUCUUGUGAUAAACUUGUUGUACUGUAUUAAUUACUCUUUCCUACUGGUUACUCGACUCUGUUCUUUAUUGCAUGGAGUAGUGUCGCAAGGCAUCGCUUAGUAUUUUUAUUGCUUUUAGAUGUAGUAAUUGGGUAAAACUGGUUAUGAAACCUAAGGGAUCACAGUAAAGUAUUAAGUGGGGUUCCAGUUCAUUUACUUUUGAGUAAAUUAGAGUGUUCAAAGCAGCCUGUAUGGGCAUUGAAUAGAUUAGCAUGGGAUAAUAGAAUAGGAUUCUUGUCUAUUUAUUGGUUUAUAGACUUAGAAUAAUGAUUAA